CGGACCCUAAUUGGGAAAUUGAUGUUUGAAAGGAAUUUUGGAGACAUUUCAUUGACCUUAAGGCUCAAUUCGAUGUUCAUGAUGUUACAUUGGUGAUGUGAUCACAUGAAUAUAUUCGUAGGGUGUUUUUGAGGUAGUGUGCAUGCUUGGUUUAGAGUUUCGAGGGCUCGUGUGAGUUUUAGUAGGUUCUGGGAUGCCUUAGGCUUUAAAAGAUCAGAUGUUGCAGGUUCAGGAAUUUUGACAGGUCUCUGAACCCUUUUGUGCGGCCCGCGAGGAAACGCAUGCGGCCGCGGUCGCCUUUGCGAGGUUCGCGGUGAGUGCUGCGCGUCCGCGGUCGCCUUUGUGCGGUCCGCGCGGGGCAUAGAUCUGCAGGCCUUCAGGAAGCCUGCGCGGCCGCGGUCCUUCUUGUGCGGUCCGCGGUGGGAACUUCAGAGGGGUAUAAAUACCCGUGAAUUUCAGUUAUUUUACACUUUUCAAAACCCCAAAACAUAAGAGGCGAUUUUCCAAACAACUCUUCUUCUCCGAAACGAUUGGUAAGUGAUUUCUAUCUUAUUUUCUUCACUUCUUAACAUCUUUUAACAUGAUUUCAACUUCAAAUCAAUGAUUUUCAUAGGGAAAUUAAGUGAUUUGGUGGUGGAAUCAAGAGAUAAAGCUAUAAUUGAGACUUGAGUGGUGUUCAAGGCAUCAAGGUAAGUGUUUGGUUUAACCCUAGCUUGAGGGAUUAGGAGUUGAGUCAUAUUUUCUACUUGCUUCUUGUUGAGUAUGACGUAUGUAAGUGCGUGAUUUUUGCCCAAUAUGAGAAUUAUUCCCAAAAAAUUCAAAAAAUAAAAUGAAUUUU
This 838-nucleotide long non-coding RNA is filed under the name Nicotiana tabacum (common tobacco). Its description in RNAcentral is "long non-coding RNA (NTAB_LNC001683)". The record is from RNAcentral. Lineage: Eukaryota; Viridiplantae; Streptophyta; Magnoliopsida; Solanales; Solanaceae.